UACGUAGGAUGCAAGCGUUGUCCGGAUUUAUUGGGUUUAAAGGGUGCGUAGGCGACCUAUUAAGUUAGUGGUGAAAACGUUCGGCUUAACCGGAUACCCGCCAUUGAUACUGAUAGGCUUGAGUGCGACAGAGGGUGUUGGAAUGUGUGGUGUAGCGGUGAAAUGCGUAGAUAUCACGCAGAACACCAAUUGCGAAGGCAGAUGCCUAUGUCGUAACUGACGCUGAGGCACGAAAGCGUGGGGAGCAAACAGG
RNAcentral lists this ribosomal RNA (253 nucleotides) under uncultured bacterium. RNAcentral's name for it is "partial 16S ribosomal RNA". It matches the Rfam family "Bacterial small subunit ribosomal RNA", at positions 524 to 776 of the family's 1533-position model. The record is from RNAcentral.